Molecule: transfer RNA, 77 nt
Filed under: Chloroflexota bacterium
Lineage: Bacteria; Bacillati; Chloroflexota
Also listed under: 1 other name
Description: Chloroflexi bacterium (sediment metagenome) tRNA-Ile
Rfam family: tRNA
About the family: Transfer RNA (tRNA) molecules are approximately 80 nucleotides in length. Their secondary structure includes four short double-helical elements and three loops (D, anti-codon, and T loops).
Source: RNAcentral
GGGGCAUUAGCUCAGGUGGUGAGAGCGCGGUCCUGAUAAGACCGAGGUCUGUGGUUCGAGUCCACAAUGCCCCACCG